RNAcentral lists this transfer RNA (69 nucleotides) under Gempylus serpens (snake mackerel). RNAcentral describes it as "tRNA-Ala". It matches the Rfam family "tRNA". From Rfam's summary of the family: Transfer RNA (tRNA) molecules are approximately 80 nucleotides in length. The record is from RNAcentral. Lineage: Eukaryota; Metazoa; Chordata; Actinopteri; Scombriformes; Gempylidae.
AAGGCUUUGGCUUAAUUAAAGCACCUGUUUUGCAUGCAGGGGAUGUGGGAUAAUAACCUGCAAGUCUUA